UGGGGAAUUUUGCACAAUGGGGGAAACCCUGAUGCAGCGACGCCGCGUGAUUUAGAAGGCCUUCGGGUUGUAAAAAUCUUUUCUAUGGGAAGAAAAUGACAGUACCAUAGGAAUAAGGACCGGCUAAUUACGUGCCAGCAGCCGCGGUAAUACGUAAGGUCCGAGCGUUGUCCGGAAUCAUUGGGCGUAAAGGGUACGUAGGCGGGUAAGCAAGUUAGAAGUGAAAUCCUAUAGCUCAACUAUAGUAAGCUUUUAAAACUGCUCAUCUUGAGGUAUGGAAGGGAAAGUGGAAUUCCUAGUGUAGCGGUGAAAUGCGCAGAUAUUAGGAGGAAUACCGGUGGCGAAGGCGACUUUCUGGCCAUAACCUGACGCUGAGGUACGACAGCGUGGGUAGCAAACAGG
RNAcentral lists this ribosomal RNA (402 nucleotides) under bacterium. Its description in RNAcentral is "partial 16S ribosomal RNA". It matches the Rfam family "Bacterial small subunit ribosomal RNA", at positions 355 to 776 of the family's 1533-position model. The record is from RNAcentral.